AAUACGUUCCCGGGCCUUGUACACACCGCCCGUCACACCAUGGGAGUGGGUUGCAAAAGAAGUAGGUAGCUUAACCUUCGGGAGGGCGCUUACCACUUUGUGAUUCAUGACUGGGGUGAAGUCGUAACAAGGUAACCGUAGGGGAACCUGCGGUUGGAUCACCUCCUUACCUGAAGAUAC
This 180-nucleotide ribosomal RNA is filed under the name Pantoea ananatis. Its description in RNAcentral is "partial 16S ribosomal RNA". It matches the Rfam family "Bacterial small subunit ribosomal RNA", at positions 1365 to 1533 of the family's 1533-position model. Lineage: Bacteria; Pseudomonadati; Pseudomonadota; Gammaproteobacteria; Enterobacterales; Erwiniaceae. The record is from RNAcentral. RNAcentral also lists the same sequence under 1 other name.